GUAGCCAGCAGAAGAGAAGGAAGUCGCCUGGGGUUGAAAAAGUCAUCUGACCAAGUGUCUUGGAACUGCAGCUCAGUGCACAUUGGGGCUGACCAAUGGGGUUGCUUUCCUCCAAGCUGUGCAAUCCCUGUCCACAAUGUGCGGAGUCCUGCCAGGUGGCUGCAGGGUCCGGGGGGAGCUGCCUGUGUGAGUGUCACCGCUGGGAGUACUGUCCUGACCGCUGCUGUGACCUGACCUGCCAGGUGUGUCUGGAUGGCUGCUUCACCUGCUGCUCAGGAGACUGCAGCUACACUUUCUUUACUCUCUGCCUCGGCCUCGUACAGAACUGCACCGCCGUCUUCAAAACAGACCAACCGAAGACCUCAGAGACACAAUGUUAAUAGGUUACCAGACAGCCAGACAGACAUGGGCUGCUGCUUCAGUGGGACUGAGGGGGACGGAGAGGGGGACACGAAGCACGGGGGGGACAACGGCUGUAAGACGUGCUGUCUGAAGACCAGAAACUGCCUGAUGAGUGGAGAGUGUGGACGGGCUCUACAGAUAGCCAACGUCUGUGCCAUGUGUGGCAUGUGCAUCCGCAUGUUUGUCUAGCUGCGACUCCAUGAGGUCAGACCUGCUCUCAUUCCCAUGGCAGCUGUACAGAGAGCUGUGAACAAUCGGACAGGUAUGCCACUCUCCCAUGGGUGGGUCACCUGGGAUCCAGCCAGGUUACAAAAGACAGACACACCCUGGACCUGCCCUGAGCCUUUCACCCAAUAGGGACUCAGAAUUCUGGAUCUGCCCUGUGCCUUACAGCCAAUAGACUCAGUACUCUGGAGCCAAGCAGGAAGGAAUGUGAAGCGUAUCCUGUAACUACUGUCCUUCUGCUAUAAGAAAUACUUGUUUUCCUUUUCUGUUGUAAAACAUUUUGAAACGGUGUGCCCUAAUGAACAUCACCCUGUACUGCCUCUGUUUAUCCAGAGCUCCACAGAGCCCCAGCCAGGGAGAGAACAGGCAGUAGGCUAUGCCCAGCAGGCAGUAUGUAUGCACAAACACGAACACAUUGCCACCAAGUAGACUUUUGAGAACUGGAACAUCACGCAGGGAGUCUGAGAAACAAAUUCAUACCGGCGAAGAGACUGUACCACCGGGAACACUCAGAUGUGAGGGAAAUUAUGUUUGUA
Coregonus clupeaformis (lake whitefish) is the source of this 1163-nucleotide long non-coding RNA. RefSeq lists it as uncharacterized. The transcript is spliced from 4 exons. The record is from RefSeq and is a predicted model, not a curated record. NCBI's taxonomy places the organism in Eukaryota, Metazoa, Chordata, Actinopteri, Salmoniformes, Salmonidae.